This 585-nucleotide ribosomal RNA is filed under the name uncultured bacterium. Its description in RNAcentral is "partial 16S ribosomal RNA". It matches the Rfam family "Bacterial small subunit ribosomal RNA", at positions 355 to 926 of the family's 1533-position model. The record is from RNAcentral.
UGGGGAAUAUUGGACAAUGGGGGCAACCCUGAUCCAGCCAUGCCGCGUGUGUGAAGAAGGCCUUUUGGUUGUAAAGCACUUUAAGCAGGGAGGAGAGGCUAAUGGUUAAUACCCAUUAGAUUAGACGUUACCUGCAGAAUAAGCACCGGCUAACUCUGUGCCAGCAGCCGCGGUAAUACAGAGGGUGCGAGCGUUAAUCGGAAUUACUGGGCGUAAAGCGAGUGUAGGUGGCUCAUUAAGUCACAUGUGAAAUCCCCGGGCUUAACCUGGGAACUGCAUGUGAUACUGGUGGUGCUAGAAAUAUGUGAGAGGGAAGUAGAAUUCCCAGGUGUAGCGGUGAAAUGCGUAGAGAUCUGGAGGAAUACCGAUGGCGAAGGCAGCUUCCUGGCAUAAUAUUGACACUGAGAUUCGAAAGCGUGGGUAGCAAAACAGGAUUAGAUACCCUGGUAGUCCACGCCGUAAAACGAUGUCUACUAGCCGUUGGGGUCCUUGAGACUUUAGUGGCGCAGUUAACGCGAUAAGUAGACCGCCUGGGGAGUACGGCCGCAAGGUUAAAAACUCAAAUGAAUUGACGGGGUCUAGCUG